Molecule: long non-coding RNA, 825 nt
Filed under: Rhinopithecus bieti (black snub-nosed monkey)
Lineage: Eukaryota; Metazoa; Chordata; Mammalia; Primates; Cercopithecidae
Description: lncRNA (ENSRBIG00000046654.1)
Source: RNAcentral
GACCUUUGUGGCUGGGGGAGGGGCUGAGGAAGGUGGCCCCCACAUAGCCUCACCAAGGCCUGUAUUCUGAGGUCAUAAUUUAGUACUCAGAUCCCAAGGUAGGAGAGUAAAGGCCAAUGGCAGUGUCAGCAGCAGGAUUGUGAUGUUAUUGUGGAGAUGAGGCCACACUACCUUCAGAGCUCCUGGCCCUGGACGUCCUGUGACCAGGCAGGUCCACCACAGCAGAGGCCACCCGGAGGGAGGCCCAUGUCUAAAAAGGACACGGAAGUCCAUCCUUCUUUGGAGUGGCUAAUUGACACAGCUCUAACCAAUGAGAUGGAAGUGAAAAUCUGUUGGAGAGUUUUUGAAAAGUUUGCUUUCAUCAUUAAAGAAGACAUACAUCUUUCCUUUUGUGGACACAGGCCUGAUUGUUGGCGCUUCAGCAACUAUCUGGGUCAGAACUAGAGGUGGUGGAGUGAACACCAUACCAGGCAAUGGAAGCAGCACUGGCCUAGACCAAGCUUGAGCAUGCACCACCGUCACCUGGAGGGCUUGUUCCAACGUGGAUGGCUGGACCCACCCCCAGAGUUUCGGAUUUAUUAGGUCUGUGCUGGGCCCUGAGAAUGUUUAUUUAAAACAAAUUUCUGGAUGCUACUGGUUCAGUUGCCACACUCAGACCUGCUGGCCUUGAGCUUGGAAGAUGUGGGUUUUAUUCCUGGAUUCCACAGUUUACUAUCUAUCACUUAGAGAAUGUAAAUUACUUACCUAAGUCUUGGUUUCUUAUUUGCAAACUAGCUGUUCUACCCAUUUUAUAAGACUUUUGUAAAGAUAAAAUAAAAGAAUACA